AUGAGCAGGAGAGAAGGAGGAUCAGAGAGGAGCUGCAGGGGUCCACAUUCUUGCAACUCAGGCUGUCUUCUGGUCUUCGAAAGGUCCUUUUUGGCACGGCUCUUGGUACGGUCGCCCUAGCCCUGGCUGCACACCAGCUAAAACGGCACAAGCACAAGAAGAAGCAGAUUACAGCAGGCAAUGGAGGCCUAAAGCUCGGCGGGGUGCCUGGCUCUGUUUUGCCCGUUAGGCGUUCUUCCUCAGCUAAAAAAGCUUUUUGAUGGAUGUAUAUACAGCCUUCAUGCCAUGAUGG
Molecule: RNA transcript, 292 nt
Organism: Xenopus tropicalis (tropical clawed frog)
Lineage: Eukaryota; Metazoa; Chordata; Amphibia; Anura; Pipidae
Exons: 3
Source: RefSeq, a predicted model, not a curated record